RNAcentral lists this ribosomal RNA (468 nucleotides) under uncultured bacterium. RNAcentral describes it as "partial 16S ribosomal RNA". It matches the Rfam family "Bacterial small subunit ribosomal RNA", at positions 28 to 507 of the family's 1533-position model. The record is from RNAcentral.
GACGAACGCUGGCGGCGUGCUUAACACAUGCAAGUCGAACGGAAAGGCCCUGCUUUUGUUGGGUGCUCGAGUGGCGAACGGGUGAGUAACACGUGAGUAACCUGCCCUUGACUUUGGGAUAACUUCAGGAAACUGGGGCUAAUACCGGAUAUGAGCUCCUGCUGCAUGGUGGGGGUUGGAAAGUUUCGGCGGUUGGGGAUGGACUCGCGGCUUAUCAGCUUGUUGGUGGGGUAGUGGCUUACCAAGGCUUUGACGGGUAGCCGGCCUGAGAGGGUGACCGGCCACAUGGGGACUGAGAUACGGCCCAGACUCCUACGGGAGGCAGCAGUGGGGAAUAUUGCACAAUGGGCGGAAGCGUGAUGAAGCAACGCCGCGUGCGGGAUGACGGCCUUCGGGUUGUAAACCGCUUUCGCCUGUGACGAAGCGUGAGUGACGGUAAUGGGUAAAGAAGCACCGGCUAACUACGUG